GCCAGGAGGAAAGGACUAACAUCUUUGAGCAUGGGUUGCUGUCCACCUGUAUUGUAACUGCCAUUGGGUUCCUACACUCCUCGAUGACAAGGAUGGAAAUGCACUUUCUAUACAUUGACAAAGAGAGAGGUUGUGCAUUAAACUUCCCAUUCAGAAUUUGCUUUGUUGCAAAGGCCACUUGACAAACCAUCAUGCUUCCCCCUCCCCGCAACUCAUUUUAAAGCUACAGUUAACAAAAGAUGUUCUCCCCUGUCAGAAAGAAAGAUAAUUUGAGUAAAAGAGUCG
RNAcentral lists this long non-coding RNA (285 nucleotides) under Physcomitrium patens. RNAcentral describes it as "long non-coding RNA (PPAT_LNC011334)". The record is from RNAcentral. Lineage: Eukaryota; Viridiplantae; Streptophyta; Bryopsida; Funariales; Funariaceae.